RNAcentral lists this unclassified non-coding RNA (398 nucleotides) under Zea mays. Its description in RNAcentral is "misc RNA Zm00001eb118560". The record is from RNAcentral. Lineage: Eukaryota; Viridiplantae; Streptophyta; Magnoliopsida; Poales; Poaceae.
CAGAACUCAAGAAAGAGUGGUGGCCAGACUUUGUGGAGUGGGUUACCUCUGAUGAGUAUAUUGCUCUAGGAGAAAAGGGCAAGCAAAGCCAAAGCAUGAAUAAGUUCCGACAAAAACUAGGUCGGCGAAGCUAUACUGUACAAAAGAGAAAAUGGGCAAAGGAAGAUGCACAAGCAUUAACCGAGGGUAAAUCUAUUCCAUUUCAAGACAUGCCAGAUGGUCGUCAUAAGGAUUGGGCAAGGGCGAGGAAUCCUUCUGGCGAUGUGAACAUAACAGAGUCGCAUCCAAUCAUAAAGAAAAUUGUAGAUCUAAAUGAAAAGUCAGUAGCUGGUACCUUUACACCAUUGGAUAAUAUGGACAUACUUGCAACAGCAAUAGGGAGUAAUCAUCCAUGGAGG